Molecule: long non-coding RNA, 2226 nt
Filed under: Chrysemys picta bellii (western painted turtle)
Lineage: Eukaryota; Metazoa; Chordata; Testudines; Emydidae
Description: lncRNA (ENSCPBG00000016911.1)
Source: RNAcentral
UUGUUAUUUGUAUUCAUGUCACAUCUCGGAGCCACAAUCAUGGCCCCAUUGUGCUAGGCGCUGCAGCCCCACAGAGCUUCCCAACUAGUUUAAAAUAACAGAAGAGGCGAAACGCUAAAGCUGGAACACAAGGUUUUGAAGCUCUCCUGUGAGGGCGUCGAUGAAAUCGAUAUGUUCUCACCAAGCAUUGCAGUUUUGUCCAAGCAGCGUUUUCUGUCGGAAGGUUUCCCACCUGCUCUCGUUUUCAGUGGAUAUGCGCUAAGAUUGGCCCUCGUAGCAAGGGGCUUUGUCCAACAAUGUAAUCCAGGGCAUGCUGCUUUUGGAAACGUCUCGCCAGGCUUUCCGAGUAUUUGUAUCCUAUUGCUUCCCACGGAUGUUUAGAGCGUUUCUGCCUUGCACUACAACAGAGUCGCUAUAUUAUAAUGUGACGCCAGCCCGAGCAACUGGCCACACUGAAUCCGAGAGGCUCAUUUGCUUUUGUUUUAUGAGCUCCAUCUGCCAUCCCUGAAGCACAGGCUGGGUAGGAACCGCAGCUAGCCUGCAGCCACCCUGCUUAUAGGCCUCAGCAGUGCAAAGGAGCUCCCACACGCUCACUCACACAGGUGCUCCAUGCCCUGUGGGUCUAUACAGUGCCAGGGGCGUGGGAACGGGAGGGGGAGCAGGGGGCCAUGGCUAUGUCCUCCCACUUUUUACAGGGCAAGGGCAAGCGAUGGGGCGGGGCGGAGAGGAGUGAGCAGGGGGCGGGGCCUUGGGGGAAGAAGAGGCAGUGUGAGGGCAGGGGCUUGGGGAGAAGGGGCAGCGUGGGGAGGCGGGGCCACGGUUCGGAUGCUGGUGUCCCCCCCCUUUCAGGGAACUUCCGCCGCUCCUGUACAGUGCUAGAUGGAGAAAAUCCCACUGAUCCAUUCGCUGCUGGUAAGAUGCGGAUUUGUUCUGAAUACCAAGAAGGGACCGUUUAGUCUAACCGGAGGCAGACCCAAGGAACUGAGCGACUUUGAGCAUCCAGUGCUGCUUGAUUUCUCGUUACGCGAGAUUUUAAACCCAACCUUGCCAACCAGCAGCCAUUUUAACAGUGGCAGCACCUCCAUCUCUUUCCUCCAGCAAAGGAGAUGGGCCCCAGAUGAAACGCACAUUCCCAGGUUUGUACACUUCCUCGCCUGGCGACACGGGCGUGCCAGGGGCUCACCGCAGACAGAAGCUGCUUUGGGGGCCGAUCACCCCAGAACCGCAGCAAGCAAGACUGGCGGCUUCCCUGACUAUUUUUCCAAGCAUACCACAACUCGCAGAAAAGCUGCUGCCGAAAUUAACGCGGUCAGGGGCUGCCACUGACUGAGAUCCCACCGUGCCCCACGCAGAACGUCAAAGCUGGGCAAAGGAGGCGUCUCAGAAGGGCAGACCCGGCCUUGUAACAGUCUCCCGCCCGCCCCGUCUGCCUGGUAACUAUAAACGAGUUCGGGGCACUAGUUACAGCGUGGCUGCCUGCCACAACACGGUAGAAGUUUAGACACUUUAAGGCCAGACGGGACCAUUCUGAUCAUCCUGUCUGACCUCCUGAAUAGCCCAGGCCAGGCACCCUCACCCAGGGAUCCCUGCACUGAGGCCAGAACUGCUGGCACAGCAGAGCUGCCAGAUGAUGGCGAAUCUGCUCCAUCCCGGGGUCAGCUAAUUCCCCUGCCUGUUAACAUACGAGCCUUGCCUCCAGUUGGAAAUUGUCUAGCUGCCAGCCAUUGGCUCUCAUGCAGACUUGGUCUGCUCGAACCUUCUGCUGUCAGACAGCUCCCCUCUUUACCUUCUCGUGAAUCCUUUGGCUGUGACUACACGAAGUCUUUACUCCUCGGGGAAUUUUGCGCCACUGCGUGUGCGCAGAAUUCAUCUCCCCCACAGAUUUAUUUGCCUCCCUGCAGAAAAAUGACUUUCUUACCGGAAAGCAAAGGGAUGCUGUAAGAGCAGUCAUGCACCCCUCCCUAGCAGCACAGCUACAUCGUUUCAGGCACCCGGAGCAGUCGGCGGAGAGGUAAAUCACCGCAGGGCUGGGGACACCCCAACCGGUGGCUCCUACCCUGCUCCGGGAUCAGAUGCUACUCUGGGCUGAGCUGGAGAGGACAGGGCUUCCUCUUCCCCUGCAAGGAGUGGCUGGGGCUGUGUCAGACCCACCCCCAGAAACCUCCCCCAGCUGCAGGAAGCUCAUCAACCUCCCCUCCUUCCAGCCCCUAUCGCUCCUCAGCCGCA